Molecule: transfer RNA, 77 nt
Filed under: Candidatus Saccharimonadota bacterium
Lineage: Bacteria; Candidatus Saccharimonadota
Description: tRNA-Val
Rfam family: tRNA
About the family: Transfer RNA (tRNA) molecules are approximately 80 nucleotides in length. Their secondary structure includes four short double-helical elements and three loops (D, anti-codon, and T loops).
Source: RNAcentral
GGGAUCGUAGCUCAGUUGGCUAGAGCACCGCGUUUACACCGCGGGUGUCGGGGGUUCAAGUCCCUCCGAUCCCACCA